This is a non-coding RNA of Bemisia tabaci, 402 nucleotides long. The record is from RefSeq and is a predicted model, not a curated record. Lineage: Eukaryota; Metazoa; Arthropoda; Insecta; Hemiptera; Aleyrodidae.
UUUUAAAAAGCAGCGAUCAUGGGAAGAAUUUUAUAUGAGUUCUACUUCAAAAUCACCUGAAGAAUCAUUGCUUAUUAUACCUGCACACUUCCGUAUCACCAACUAAUCAUCCAAAGUGGCACCUUUUCUUUGGGCAGAUGAGCUUUUGUUAACUUUUAUCCUUCAAGAUUGAGCGUGAGGUUGUUAAAACUGCAACAAGAGAUUAAAGAUGAAAAGCUCAAGCAUGUAAAUAAAAAAGUCCUUUAAAAAACAGCUUUGGAGGCACUUAGCAAGAGACAAUGCGCAACAGAAAAAUUAUACGGUACACACAAUUAGUUGUAACGUCGACUCUUUUAUAUUCUCACUUCAUUUUAAUGUUUUACGCAAAAUAAUGUUUUAAGUAAAUUAUCAAAUUUUGUUCAA